GAUGAACGCUAGCGGCAGGCCUAACACAUGCAAGUCGAGGGGCAGCACAGAAACAGCAAUGUUUUGGUGGCGACCGGCGGACGAGUGCGUAACGCGUAUGCAACCUACCUUUAACAGGGGGAUAACGGAGAGAAAUUUCCACUAAUACCCCAUAACAUCGAUCAAGGCAUCUUGAUUGGUUGAAAACUCCGGUGGUUAAAGAUGGGCAUGCGUUGUAUUAGGUAGUUGGUGAGGUAAUGGCUCACCAAGCCUACGAUACAUAGGGGGACUGAGAGGUUAGCCCCCCACACUGGUACUGGGACACGGACCAGACUCCUACGAGAGGCAGCAGUGAGGAAUAUUGGUCAAUGGGGGCAACCCUGAACCAGCCAUGCCGCGUGCAGGAAGACGGCUCUAUGAGUUGUAAACUGCCUUUAAACAGGGAUAAAGCACAGUAUGUAUACUGUGUUGAAGGUACUGUAAGAAUAAGGAUCGGCUAACUCCGUGCCAGCCGCCGCAGUAA
This 502-nucleotide ribosomal RNA is filed under the name uncultured bacterium. Its description in RNAcentral is "partial 16S ribosomal RNA". It matches the Rfam family "Bacterial small subunit ribosomal RNA", at positions 28 to 523 of the family's 1533-position model. The record is from RNAcentral.